UGGCGGCACGCCUAACACAUGCAAGUCGAACGCAGUAGCAAUACUGAGUGGCAGACGGGUGAGUAACAUGUGGGAAUCUGCCUUGUGGUUCAGGACAACAUUGGGAAACCGGUGCUAAUACUGGAUAAGCCCUUACGGGGAAAGUUUUAAUGCCAAAAGAUGAGCCCGCAUUUGAUUAGCUAGUUGGUGAGGUAAAAGCUUACCAAGGCGACAAUCAAUAGCUGAUUUGAGAGGAUGAUCAGCCACACUGGAACUGAGACACGGUCCAGACUCC
This 274-nucleotide ribosomal RNA is filed under the name uncultured bacterium. Its description in RNAcentral is "partial 16S ribosomal RNA". It matches the Rfam family "Bacterial small subunit ribosomal RNA", at positions 37 to 339 of the family's 1533-position model. The record is from RNAcentral.